Molecule: ribosomal RNA, 487 nt
Filed under: uncultured Gammaproteobacteria bacterium
Lineage: Bacteria; Pseudomonadati; Pseudomonadota; Gammaproteobacteria
Description: bacterial SSU rRNA
Rfam family: Bacterial small subunit ribosomal RNA
Source: RNAcentral
AGUCGAGCGGUAACAGAUCUAGCUUGCUAGAUGCUGACGAGCGGCGGACGGGUGCGUAACACGUAGGAAUCUGCCUGGUAGUGGGGGAUAGCCCGGAGAAAUCCGGAUUAAUACCGCAUACGCCCUAAGGGGGAAAGCAGGGGAUCCAUUCUUUUCGGAGAAGGGACCUUGCGCUACUGGAUGAGCCUGCGUCGGAUUAGCUAGUUGGUGGGGUAAAGGCCUACCAAGGCAACGAUCCGUAGCUGGUCUGAGAGGAUGAUCAGCCACACUGGGACUGAGACACGGCCCAGACUCCUACGGGAGGCAGCAGUGGGGAAUAUUGCACAAUGGGCGCAAGCCUGAUGCAGCCAUGCCGCGUGUGUGAAGAAGGCUCUAGGGUUGUAAAGCACUUUCAGCGAGGAGGAAAGGUAGUUAGUUAAUACCUGACUACUGUGACGUUACUCGCAGAAGAAGCACCGGCUAACUCCGUGCCAGCAGCCGCGGUAAU